UACGUAGGGGGCAAGCGUUAUCCGGAUUCACUGGGUGUAAAGGGAGCGUAGACGGCCAUGCAAGCCUGGAGUGAAAGCCCGGGGCCCAACCCCGGGACUGCUCUGGGAACUGCACGGCUGGAGUGCGGGAGGGGCAGGCGGAAUUCCUGGUGUAGCGGUGAAAUGCGUAGAUAUCAGGAGGAACACCGGCGGCGAAGGCGGCCUGCUGGACCGCGACUGACGUUGAGGCUCGAAAGCGUGGGGAGCGAACAGG
Molecule: ribosomal RNA, 253 nt
Filed under: uncultured bacterium
Lineage: Bacteria
Description: partial 16S ribosomal RNA
Rfam family: Bacterial small subunit ribosomal RNA
Source: RNAcentral